GAUGAACGCUGGCGGCGUGCCUAACACAUGCAAGUCGAACGGAAGGGCGCUGAGUUUGCGGGGUUCACGUUUGGCGAGGAGGGGAGUAUCACGCGAGUAACAUGCCCCUAUCAGUGGGAGAACACCAGGAAACAGGGGCUAAAACCGGAUAGGAGCUCCUGCAGCGCAGGGUGGGUUGGAAAGAGUCGGUGGUUGUGGCAGGUAUAGAUGGUUCCGCGCUUGUUUGGCUAGUUGGUGGUGUAACGGCUUACGAAGGCAAGGAUGCAUAGCCGACCUGGGAGCGUGAUCGGCCACACUGGAACUGAGACACGGUCCAGACGCCUACGGGAGGCAGCAGUAGGGAAUCUUCCGCAAUGGGCGAAAGCCUGACGGAGCAACGCCGCGUUAGUGAUGAAGGUCUUCGGAUCGUAAAACUCUGUUAUUAGGGAAGAACAUAUGUGUAAGUAACUGUGCACAUCUUGACGGUACCUAAUCAGAAAGCCACGGCUAACUACGUG
RNAcentral lists this ribosomal RNA (497 nucleotides) under uncultured bacterium. RNAcentral's name for it is "partial 16S ribosomal RNA". It matches the Rfam family "Bacterial small subunit ribosomal RNA", at positions 28 to 507 of the family's 1533-position model. The record is from RNAcentral.